This 922-nucleotide ribosomal RNA is filed under the name uncultured bacterium. RNAcentral's name for it is "bacterial SSU rRNA". It matches the Rfam family "Bacterial small subunit ribosomal RNA", at positions 63 to 902 of the family's 1533-position model. The record is from RNAcentral.
CGAAUGGUCGCAAGACAAUGGCAGACGGGUGAGUAAUGUAUAGGAAUCUACCCUUCAAUGGACCAUAGCUCAUCGAAAGAUGGGGUAAUAGUCCAUAGUCCAGGUGCCGUAUGGUACCUGGUAAAGAUCUUAACUGAUCGUUGAAGGAGGAGCCUAUAUCCUAUCAGCUAGUUGGCGGGGUAAAAGCCCACCAAGGCGAUGACGGGUAGCUGGACUGAGAGGUCGGUCAGCCACAACUGCACUGAGAUACGGGCAGUACACCUACGGGUGGCAGCAACUAGGAAUAUUGCGCAAUGGACGAAAGUCUGACGCAGCGACGCCGCGUGGAGGAUGAAGGCCUAUGGGUCGUAAACUCCUUUUGAUAGUCCAUUCACGGACUAUAGAAUAAGCACUUACUAACUACGUGCCAGCAGUCGCGGUAAUACGCAGGGUGCAAGCGUUAUCCGGAUUCAUUGGGCGUAAAGUGUGCGUAGGCUCCUUAAAAAGUCGCGUCUUAAAUACUGAGGCUUAACCUUAGGCAUGGAUGCGAUACUAUUAGGGUUGAGGAUUGACAGGGAUGCUGGAACAGCUAGAGUAGCAGUGAAAUGCGUUGAUAUUAGCUGGAACACCAAAGGCGAAGGCAAGCAUCUAGGUUUUUCCCUGACGCUGAGGCACGAAAGCUAGGGUAGCGAAACAGAUUAGAUACCUGUGUAGUCCUAGCUGUAAACUAUGUUCGCUAGCUCUCACUUGCAGAGGAUAUAAGUAAAAAGUCAAAGGUCAAAAGGCAAAAGUUCAAUUCAAAGUAAAAAGCUUUUUAAAUUUUGAAUUUUAACUUGUAAUUUUGACUUUUAAAUUUUGAUUUUUGAAUUUGUAUUCUGUGCUAGUGGGGGCGCAGUUAACACGUUAGCGAACCGCCUGGGGAGUACGGCCGCAGGCUAAACUC